GUGUCAGCCGCCGCGGUAAUACGAGAGGCCCAAACAUUAUUCGGAAUUACUGGGCUUAAAGAGUUCGUAGGCGGCGUGGAAAGUAGGGUGUGAAAGCCCUCGGCUCAACCGAGGAAUUGCGCUCUAAACUGCCGUGCUAGAGGAAGCUAGAGGUGAGCGGAACUGAUGGUGGAGCGGUGAAAUGCGUUGAUAUCAUCAGGAACACCGGAGGCGAAGGCGGCUCACUGGGGCUUUUCUGACGCUGAGGAACGAAAGCCAGGGUAGCGAACGGGAUUAGAUACCCCCGUAGUCC
This 292-nucleotide ribosomal RNA is filed under the name uncultured bacterium. RNAcentral describes it as "partial 16S ribosomal RNA". It matches the Rfam family "Bacterial small subunit ribosomal RNA", at positions 505 to 796 of the family's 1533-position model. The record is from RNAcentral.